Long non-coding RNA from Callithrix jacchus (white-tufted-ear marmoset), 2900 nucleotides. The record is from Ensembl. Lineage: Eukaryota; Metazoa; Chordata; Mammalia; Primates; Cebidae.
CGCUCCUGACUUCCAAAUCUGGGACGUGUCAUGCCUUUUCUGGGCUCACGGUCGUUUCCUCAAGCUUCCCUCACUAGCCUCCUUAACCAUGCAUUUGACUUGAACAGGCUAAGCGCGGGACCUGAAAAUCUCCUGUCCACGCACCGGUGCGCGAACUCUUGCCCCUGAACCUGGCACUCAACCUCACCUCCUCCAAAGUGGGUUUCUUCCUUCUCACCGAGCUCAUCCUGGUGCAGCUAGUCUGGCAAAUUUUAUUCCCGAGGCAAAUUUUCCCGGGACAAACAUUUCUCCCUGCUCGCUCCUCCCCACUCCCCAUCUGCAGAGGAAGAACGGUAUUUGAGAAGUACUUCAAUUCAUGGAAGCAGCUACUUCCUUCACUUACUAGCUGUAAGACUUUGUUUUCAUCUUUGAGUUUCAAAUUCUUCAUCUGUAAAAUCUUGGUGAUAAAACAAUGCUAUUACUACAAGGAUUGUAUUAAUGGUUGUUUAAAUUUCUGUAAUUUUAUCAGUGUUCAAAACAUUUUCUUUUAUUCAGGUAUGUAAAUCUUCCAUAUUACCUGCUGUUUUAUCAUUAACAUUUUCCCUUCCAAUUAAAGCAACAUAUUUCCACUUUACAUAUGCGCAAUGAGAACACUUUCAUGGUUAAAUACGUUGGAGAAAUACUGUGUAUGCAUUCCACCCUCUCCUGGUGGUUUAUACAUAAAUAGGACCUGAGAAAUUUCAGAAAAGAAACUUACUUAACCUUGUUCAUCAAUGUUUUCCAAGGUUAUUUCACCAUGGAAACCCCCGUUCUUUUACUUUCCCCAUGGAAUGGUGAUGAACAUGUCACAGGACAAGGUGCCAAAGCAGGAGCACCACCACCUUGGACAAGCGCUGCCAUUUUAAAGUUCACCUUGAACAAAACUGCCUAAAUCCAAAGGGCAUUAGGCUAAUGGCUAAGGCCAGCAUGACCAUAAACCACAAAUGACAUCUCUGACCAGAAACAUUCCAAAUCCCUCCCUGACCAGAGACAUGUCAGCCCCAAGGUAACCUCCUCUCUGACCAGAGACAGUCCAACCCUGCAAUAGACUUCUCCCCUGUACAGAAACAUUCCAAGUCUGUGAUAAAUUUUCUUACCCUAAAACCAAUAAAUACUCUUAGUCUGUAAGAGAGAAUACCAAAAAUCAGCCAGAAGCCCCUCUCAUGUUUAUUCUCCAAAAUAAACUUGUCUUUGACUGUUGAGCCACUUUUUGUGUUUCUUUCUUCUUUCUUUAACACUUACACAAGGGACACAGUUUGAGGAUCACUGAGUAAAGGUAAUUGGAAUCUGGAAUGUUUGGGGACCACCACUGGACUAAGUCAAAUGAAGAAGUUAGAGAAUCAAAUCAAGUUUAACCUACUCUGCUAAAAGCAAGGAAGCCCAAAGUAAAAGGUUUGUGCUUAGUUAUUAUUGAUGUAAAGAGAAAACUCUGUUAAAUAUUUGAAGAGAUUUAUUCUAAGCCAAAUAUGAGUGACCACUGGUUUGUGACACAGCCCUUGGGAGAUUCUGAGAACAUGUGCCUACAGUGGUUGGGGCACAGCCUAGUUUUAUAAAUUUUAGUGAGGCAUAAGACAUCAAUGAAAUACAUGUAAAAUGUACAUUGAUUCAAUCUAGAAGGGUGAGACCACUUGAAGUGGGUGGAAUGGGGGAGGUUUCAAUUCACAGGUAGAUUUAAAAAUGUUCUGAAUGGCAAUUGGUUGAAAGAGUUAUUAUCAAUAGAAAGGAAUGUCUGGGUUAUAAAAAGGGAUUAUGGAGACCAAGGUUUUAUCAUUCAGAUGAAUCCUCCAGGUAGCAGGCUUCAGAGACAAUAGAUUGUAAUUGUUUCUUAUCAGACUUAAGAUCUGAGUUGAGUUAAUGCCUGAAUUCCAAAAGAGAGGAGGGUAUAGUGAGGCAUGUCCAACCCUCCCCUUCCCUCAUAACCUGAACGAGUUUUUCAGGUUAACUUUGGAAUACCCUGGGCCAAGAGGAGGGUUCCAUUUAGAUGGUUAGGGGGUCUCAGAAUUUUAUUUUUUGGUUUAUAUUAUCAUACUACUUUAUGUAUGUUUCAUAGUUACUAUUCAGUAUCUCCUACUUUCUCUCCUUAAACUGUCAGUUUUCUUCCCUCUUCUUACUGAGAAAAUGAAUGAAAUUAAGCAUUGUGCAGGAGCCAUAAAGAGUUAAAGAAACCAAUAACUAAAUUCUUGUGUUUGCAGGAUAGCAAAUAAGAAAAGAAACAAGUUGAUGAAAUGCUGAAACUCCCCCUGCUUGUGAGAUUAAAAAAAAAAACAAAACUGGCUGCAAUUGGUUAACCAAGAUGGCCAACUGGAGUUUGUGCAGAAGAAGCUUGCUAUGUCACAGCUGGAAUUUCUAUCACAUGUUUCAUACUAAAUCCUCUCAAAUUGCAUGAACCCAUGAGUUAGCAUGAAGAGAUAACACACAUGCCCAAGGAUUUUCCAGACUUCCCCUUUUUUUCUACCAAAUCACCCGCUAAUCCCAGAAUCCACCCACUAAAUCUUUUCUAAUAAAAAUACUACCAUGAAGCCAGCACAAGGAGAUAGAUUUGAUCUUGAGUCCUGUCUCUUUGUCAGUUGACUUGCAAUGUCAUGGAAGAAGUCUAACCUCUCAGGAUAUGUAAGUUCAAUGGAGUAAUUUUGACCCUUCGUCUUGUGCAUGCAGUGCUGUAUUAAGAAGCAAAAUAUUAAAAGCUUCAGGCUUUUUAAAAAUUAACUUUUAAUUAAAAGCAACUCAACAUUUUAAAAACAUUCUACAUUCUCCCUUUCCCCUGACAUUUGAAAUGCUCAGUGAAGUCUUUCCUGAGAAAUUUAAAUAGACAUUCAACAUUGUGAGAGUUCCUUCUUUUGAGGGGUUUAUAAAUUCAAAGCACAGAACAAAUCAGAAUAAAG